This 305-nucleotide ribosomal RNA is filed under the name uncultured bacterium. RNAcentral describes it as "bacterial SSU rRNA". It matches the Rfam family "Bacterial small subunit ribosomal RNA", at positions 335 to 657 of the family's 1533-position model. The record is from RNAcentral.
UGCCUACGGGGGGCAGCAGUGGGGAAUAUUGCACAAUGGGGGAAACCCUGAUGCAGCAACGCCGCGUGAGUGAAGAAGGUUUUCGGAUUGUAAAGCUCUGUUAGCAGGGAAGAGGAAGGACGGUACCUGCAGAGGAAGCCACGGCUAACUACGUGCCAGCAGCCGCGGUAAUACGUAGGGAGCAAGCGUUGUCCGGAAUUACUGGGCGUAAAGGGCGCGUAGGUGGGCGCUUAAGUCAGGUGUGAAAACUCCGGGCUCCACCUGGAGACUGCACUUGAAACUGGGUGUCUUGAGGGCAGGAGAGG